CCGGAUAACGCCUGGACCUUCCGUAUUACCGCGGCUGCUGGCACGGAAUUAGCCGGUCCUUAUUCGUAUGGUACCUGCAAAUAGGGACACGUCCCUAACUUUAUCCCCAUACAAAAGCAGUUUACAACCCAUAGGGCCGUCAUCCUGCACGCUACUUGGCUGGUUCAGACUUCCGUCCAUUGACCAAUAUUCCUCACUGCUGCCUCCCGUAGGAGUUUGGACCGUGUCUCAGUUCCAAUGUGGGGGACCUUCCUCUCAGAACCCCUACUGAUCGUUGCCUUGGUGGGCCGUUACCCCGCCAACAAGCUAAUCAGACGCAUCCCCAUCCAUUACCGAUAAAUCUUUACUUCAAAUCUGAUGCCGUCAUCGAAGACUAUGCGGUAUUAGUCUGCCUUUCGGCAGGUUAUCCCACAGUAAUGGGAAGGUUGGAUACGCGUUACUCACCCGUGCGCCGGUCGACGUCCAAAGAGUGCAAGCACUCAAUGCCGUUUCCCCUCGACUUGCAUGUGUUAAGCCUGUAGCUAGCGUUCAUCCUGAGCCAGGAUCAAACCCUC
RNAcentral lists this ribosomal RNA (554 nucleotides) under uncultured bacterium. Its description in RNAcentral is "partial 16S ribosomal RNA". The record is from RNAcentral.